RNAcentral lists this ribosomal RNA (1354 nucleotides) under metagenome. Its description in RNAcentral is "bacterial SSU rRNA". It matches the Rfam family "Bacterial small subunit ribosomal RNA". The record is from RNAcentral.
GUAGCGCGUGGGAAUCUGCCCUCAGGAGGGGGAUAACGGCUGGAAACGGCCGCUAAUACCCCAUAUGCCGAGAGGUGAAAUGAAUUUCGCCUGAGGAUGAGCCCGCGUCUGAUUAGCUAGUUGGUGGGGUAAUGGCCCACCAAGGCGACGAUCAGUAGCUGGUCUGAGAGGAUGAUCAGCCACACUGGGACUGAGACACGGCCCAGACUCCUACGGGAGGCAGCAGUGGGGAAUUUUCCGCAAUGGGCGAAAGCCUGACGGAGCAACGCCGCGUGAGGGAUGAAGGCCUCUGGGCUGUAAACCUCUUUUCUCAAGGAAGAAGACAUGACGGUACUUGAGGAAUAAGCCACGGCUAAUUCCGUGCCAGCAGCCGCGGUAAUACGGGAGUGGCAAGCGUUAUCCGGAAUUAUUGGGCGUAAAGCGUCCGCAGGCGGCCUUGUAAGUCUGUCGUUAAAGCGUGGAGCUUAACUCCAUUUAAGCGAUGGAAACUACAAGGCUUGAGUGUGGUAGGGGCAGAGGGAAUUCCCGGUGUAGCGGUGAAAUGCGUAGAUAUCGGGAAGAACACCAGUGGCGAAGGCGCUCUGCUGGGCCAUAACUGACGCUCAUGGACGAAAGCCAGGGGAGCGAAAGGGAUUAGAUACCCCUGUAGUCCUGGCCGUAAACGAUGAACACUAGGUGUCGGGGGAAUCGACCCCCUCGGUGUCGUAGCUAACGCGUUAAGUGUUCCGCCUGGGGAGUACGCACGCAAGUGUGAAACUCAAAGGAAUUGACGGGGGCCCGCACAAGCGGUGGAGUAUGUGGUUUAAUUCGAUGCAACGCGAAGAACCUUACCAGGGUUUGACAUCCUGCGAAUCCCUUGGAAACUUGGGAGUGCCUUCGGGAGCGCAGAGACAGGUGGUGCAUGGCUGUCGUCAGCUCGUGUCGUGAGAUGUUGGGUUAAGUCCCGCAACGAGCGCAACCCACGUCUUUAGUUGCCAGCAUUCAGUUGGGCACUCUAGAGAGACCGCCGGUGAUAAACCGGAGGAAGGUGUGGAUGACGUCAAGUCAUCAUGCCCCUUACAUCCUGGGCUACACACGUACUACAAUGCUACGGACAAAGGGCAGCAAGCUCGCGAGAGUUAGCAAAUCCCAUAAACCGUGGCUCAGUUCAGAUCGUAGGCUGCAACUCGCCUACGUGAAGGAGGAAUCGCUAGUAAUCGCAGGUCAGCAUACUGCGGUGAAUACGUUCCCGGGCCUUGUACACACCGCCCGUCACACCAUGGAAGUUGGCCAUGCCCGAAGUCGUUACUCCAACCCUUGUGGAGGAGGACGCCGAAGGUGGGGCUGAUGACUGGGGUGAAGUCGUAACAAGGUA